Molecule: ribosomal RNA, 429 nt
Filed under: Pseudomonadota bacterium
Lineage: Bacteria; Pseudomonadati; Pseudomonadota
Description: Proteobacteria bacterium partial 16S ribosomal RNA
Rfam family: Bacterial small subunit ribosomal RNA
Source: RNAcentral
UGGGGAAUAUUGGACAAUGGGCGGAAGCCUGAUCCAGCCAUGCCGCGUGUGUGAAGAAGGUCUUCGGAUUGUAAAGCACUUUAAGUUGGGAGGAAGGGCAGUAAGCGAAUACCUUGCUGUUUUGACGUUACCGACAGAAUAAGCACCGGCUAACUCUGUGCCAGCAGCCGCGGUAAUACAGAGGGUGCAAGCGUUAAUCGGAAUUACUGGGCGUAAAGCGCGCGUAGGUGGUUCGUUAAGUUGAAUGUGAAAGCCCCGGGCUCAACCUGGGAACUGCAUCCAAAACUGGCGAGCUAGAGUAGGGCAGAGGGUGGUGGAAUUUCCUGUGUAGCGGUGAAAUGCGUAGAUAUAGGAAGGAACACCAGUGGCGAAGGCGACCACCUGGGCUCAUACUGACACUGAGGUGCGAGAGCGUGGGGAGCAAACAGG